GCUGGGAUAGCCUAGCCUGGUAAGGCGCAAGUCUGGAAAGCUUGUGCUCUCGUAGCUCGGGAGUUCGAAUCUCCCUCCCAGCGC
This 84-nucleotide transfer RNA is filed under the name Thermoplasmatales archaeon. RNAcentral's name for it is "tRNA-Ser". It matches the Rfam family "tRNA". Rfam says of the family: Transfer RNA (tRNA) molecules are approximately 80 nucleotides in length. Their secondary structure includes four short double-helical elements and three loops (D, anti-codon, and T loops). Lineage: Archaea; Methanobacteriati; Thermoplasmatota; Thermoplasmata; Thermoplasmatales. The record is from RNAcentral.